AGAGUUUGAUCCUGGCUCAGGACGAACGCUGGCGGCGUGCUUAACACAUGCAAGUCGAGCGACGCGCCUUCGGGUGACGGAGCGGCGAACGGGUGAGUAACACGUGGGCAACCUGCCCCUAGCUCUGGGAUAACUCCGGGAAACCGGGGCUAAUACCGGAUAGGACCUCGGAGGGCAUCUUCUGGGGUGGAAAGUUUUUCGGCUAGGGAUGGGCCCGCGGCCUAUCUGCUUGUUGGUGGGGUCACGGCCCACCAAGGCGACGACGGGUAGCCGGCCUGAGAGGGCGACCGGCCACACUGGGACUGAGACACGGCCCAGACUCCUACGGGAGGCAGCAGUGGGGAAUAUUGCGCAAUGGGCGGAAGCCUGACGCAGCGACGCCGCGUGGGGGAUGAAGGCCUUCGGGUUGUAAACCUCUUUCAGCAGGGACGAAUUCAGACGGUACCUGCAGAAGAAGCACCGGCCAACUACGUGCCAGCAGCCGCGGUAAUACGUAGGGUGCAAGCGUUGUCCGGAAUUAUUGGGCGUAAAGAGCUCGUAGGCGGUCUGUCGCGUCGGCUGUGAAAACUUGGGGCUCAACCCCAAGCCUGCAGUCGAUACGGGCAGACUAGAGUGCGGUAGGGGAGACUGGAAUUCCUGGUGUAGCGGUGAAAUGCGCAGAUAUCAGGAGGAACACCGGUGGCGAAGGCGGGUCUCUGGGCCGUAACUGACGCUGAGGAGCGAAAGCGUGGGGAGCGAACAGGAUUAGAUACCCCGGUAGUCC
RNAcentral lists this ribosomal RNA (763 nucleotides) under uncultured bacterium. RNAcentral describes it as "bacterial SSU rRNA". It matches the Rfam family "Bacterial small subunit ribosomal RNA", at positions 8 to 796 of the family's 1533-position model. The record is from RNAcentral.